CCCAAGCCCCGUCCCGGUUUUCGACCCGGUUCUGCCGGAGGCGGUCACGUCCAAGGUGAGCGACCCGAUCAGAGUUACGGAUCCGGUUACGGUGGUCAGACGGAGGCUGAGUACGGUAGGAGACCUGAAUCGGGGUACGGCGGAGCCACGGAGACGGAGUAUGGCCGGAGACCUGAGCAGAGUUACGGAUCUGGUGGAUACGGUGGCAGAUCGGAGGUUGAGUCUGGUGGCUAUGGUGGUAGAUCAGAGGUUGAAUCUGGUGGAUACGGUGGAAGAUCGGAGUCUGGUGGCUAUGGUGGAAGAACGGAGGUUGAGUAUGGCCGGAGACCUGAAUCUGGAUAUGGUGGGAGAUCGGAGACGGAGACCGGGUACGGAUCCGGGUAUGAGAAGAAACCGAGCUUCGGUGAAGAGAGGAGCGAGUAUGAGCGCAAGCCUAGCUAUGGAAGGUCUGAGGAUCAAGAGGAAGGAGGUUACAGGAAGCCUAGCUAUGGGAGAUCUGAGGAUCAGGUUGAGAGCUACAUAAAGCCCAGCAGCUACGGGAGGUCUGAGGAAGAGGAAGAAGGAGGCUAUAGGAAGCCUAGCUAUGGAAGGUCUGAGGAACAGGAGGAAGGGAGUUACAGGAAGCCUAGCUAUGGCCGUCGUAAUGAUGAUGAUGAUGAUGAGGAGCGCAGGAACCGUUCCGGUGAUGAUGAGGAAGGGAGCUAUGGCCGCAAGAAAUAUGUAAGUUCAAUAAGUUAAUUAUAUAAAGUUAUAGUCAAUUUGCAUCUAGAUUAUUGUGUGGAAAUUAAGUUUAUUGAUUGUUUAAACAUAAAACCCUUUUGUUGAUGGACUGAUCUCAACAUUGAAACUAAAGAUUAUAGUUUUGGUGAUAACAUCCAUUACCCCCUUUAACUUCAUUCGUUCAGUAUUUGAUUUAACAUUGACAUCUUGUAGGUUAUAACAAUCAUAGUACAGAACUUGCAUUGUGUUUUUUGCGUCUCGUUUGUUUUGAAAAUAAGUUUUAGUUUGGUUUUGAUCACAGUGUAGCGGUGUAACUCUGUUUUCACAUCCUGAAAUGGAGUUCCUUAAUUUGAAAGCUAUGUUCUACAAUCCCAUAAUAACGUUCCUGGUUCAAUGUUUGUUUGAAUAUAGACAUCUUGAAUAUGUCCCAUUGUUGAUCUUAGUGUAGAGUAGUCUCCAUGUUGAACUAAAGUGUUUGUCUUUCAUACCCUGUAACUCUGUUUUCACAUCCUGUAAUGGAUUAGCCUCGGUUGAAAGCUAAGUUCUUUGAUUGAAAUUGCACAUCAUGUAUAUGACAUUUGAAGAUCAUAGUUACAGAGUAUCUAUCUCCAUUGUUAUGGUGACCGUUAAUAGAGGCAUCACUGACUAAAGCUUUCGCUUAACGUUAUUCAUCUCUGCAUCAAAUUCUGUAGGGUGGCAAU
This 1421-nucleotide long non-coding RNA is filed under the name Brassica napus (rape). RNAcentral describes it as "long non-coding RNA (BNAP_LNC003521)". The record is from RNAcentral. Lineage: Eukaryota; Viridiplantae; Streptophyta; Magnoliopsida; Brassicales; Brassicaceae.